This 668-nucleotide ribosomal RNA is filed under the name Ralstonia pickettii. RNAcentral's name for it is "bacterial SSU rRNA". It matches the Rfam family "Bacterial small subunit ribosomal RNA", at positions 135 to 796 of the family's 1533-position model. Lineage: Bacteria; Pseudomonadati; Pseudomonadota; Betaproteobacteria; Burkholderiales; Burkholderiaceae. The record is from RNAcentral.
AGUGGGGGAUAACUAGUCGAAAGAUUAGCUAAUACCGCAUACGACCUGAGGGUGAAAGCGGGGGACCGCAAGGCCUCGCGCUACAGGAGCGGCCGAUGUCUGAUUAGCUAGUUGGUGGGGUAAAAGCCUACCAAGGCGACGAUCAGUAGCUGGUCUGAGAGGACGAUCAGCCACACUGGGACUGAGACACGGCCCAGACUCCUACGGGAGGCAGCAGUGGGGAAUUUUGGACAAUGGGGGCAACCCUGAUCCAGCAAUGCCGCGUGUGUGAAGAAGGCCUUCGGGUUGUAAAGCACUUUUGUCCGGAAAGAAAUGGCCNGGGAUAAUACCCCGGGUCGAUGACGGUACCGGAAGAAUAAGCACCGGCUAACUACGUGCCAGCAGCCGCGGUAAUACGUAGGGUGCGAGCGUUAAUCGGAAUUACUGGGCGUAAAGCGUGCGCAGGCGGUUUUGUAAGACAGGCGUGAAAUCCCCGAGCUCAACUUGGGAAUGGCGCUUGUGACUGCAAGGCUAGAGUAUGUCAGAGGGGGGUAGAAUUCCACGUGUAGCAGUGAAAUGCGUAGAGAUGUGGAGGAAUACCGAUGGCGAAGGCAGCCCCCCUGGGACGUCACUGACGCUCAUGCACGAAAGCGUGGGGAGCCAACAGGAUUAGAUACCCUGGUUAGUCC